CUGUUCCCUGCCGGGUCUCUAUGGGGUGCUGCAGUUCCCUGUAUGGCCACUGUGGGGCGCUGUGGGGCUCCAUGGUUCCCCAUAGGGUCCCUAUGGGGCGCUGCUGCUCCCUGUAGGGUUUCUAUGGAUCCUUUUAGGGUCCUUGUAUGGGGCGCUGUGGGUCUCUAUGGGUCCCUCUCGGAUCUCUAUGGGGCGCUGUGGGUCUCUAUGGGUCCACAUAGGGUCCCUAUGGGGCGCUGCUGUUCCCUGUAGGGUCUCUAUGAGUCCUUGUAGGGUCCUUGUAUGGGGCGCUGUGGGUCUCUAUGGGUCUUUGUAGGGUCUCCAUGGGGCGCUGUGGGUCUCCAUGGGUCCACAUAGGGUCCCUAUGGGGCGCUGCUGUUCCCAGUGCGGCCACUGCGGGGCGCUGUGGGUCUCUGUGGGUCCUUGUAGGAUUUCUAUGGGGCGCUGCUGUUCCCUGUAGGGUUUCUAUGGAUCCUUGUAGGGUCCUUGUAUGGGGCGCUGUGGGUCUCUAUGGGUCUUUGUAGGGUCUCCAUGGGGCGCUGUGGGUCUCUAUGGGUUCCUGUAGGAUCUCUGUGGGGCGCUGCUAUUCCCAGUGCGGCCACUGUGGGGCGCUGUGGGUCUCCAUGGGUCCCUGUCGGAUCUCUAUGGGGCGCUGUGGGUCUCUAUGGGUCCACAUAGGGUCCCUAUGGGGCGCUGCAGUUCCCUGUAUGGCCACUGUGGGGCGCUGUGGGUCUCUAUGGGUCUUUGUAGGGUCUCCAUGGGGCGCUGUGGGUCUCCAUGGUUCCCCAUAGGGUCCCUAUGGGGCGCUGCUAUUCCCUGUAAUGUCUCUACGGGGCGCUGCAGUUCCCUGUAUGGCCACUGCGGGGCGCUGUGGUUCUCCAUAGUUCCCCAUAGAGUCCCUAUGGGGCGCUGCUGUUCCCAGUGCGGCCACCGCGGGGCGCUGUGGGUCUCUGUGGCUCCUUGUAGGAUUUCUAUGGGGCGCUGCAGUUCCCUGCCGGUCCCUAUGGGGCGCUGCGGUCCCUCCACGCCCCCCCCGCCCCGUGCGGUCCCUCCCACCCCCCAUCCCCUCCCUCCCCCCCCCCCGCCCCCCCCCCACCUCGCAGCCAUGGGGCGCUGCGGGGCGGUCGGGCUGUGGCUGCUGUGGGGCGCGUUGUGGGGCGCGGGUUUGGGGGCCGCCUUCGAAUUGGGGGAAGCCCUGCGGGGGCUGCGGGGGGAAAACGCCCGGCUGGAGGGGACGCUGCGAAACCUCAGCAGGGCGCUGGGCCAACUGCGGGCGCGGCUCCGGGAGCCCGCGGGUGCGUCUGCGGAGCACAUGGACCCCAUGCAGCCCUAUGGGACCCUAUGAACCCCAUACAGCCCUAUGGAACCCUAUGGAACCCUAUUGAAUCCUGUGAAACCCUAUGGAGCCCUAUUGAACCCUAUAGACCCUAUGGAACCCUACGGAGCCCCAUGGAACCCUAUGGAGUCCUAUAGACCCUAUAGAGCCCUAUUGAACCCUAUGGAACCCUAUAGAUUUUGUCAAAAUCCCAUAGAAUCCUAUGGAGCCCUAUAGAACCCUAUGGAAUCCUACAGACCUAUGCAGCCCUAUAGAACCCCAUAGAGCCCUAUAGAGCCUAACAGAACC
Molecule: long non-coding RNA, 1624 nt
Organism: Phasianus colchicus (ring-necked pheasant)
Lineage: Eukaryota; Metazoa; Chordata; Aves; Galliformes; Phasianidae
Source: Ensembl